GGAUCAACCUCAUGACGACGCCUAAUAAUAAUAAUAAUAAUCACAAUACUAAAAGCACAAUAUGGUGAGCAGAGAGUGUGCCACCUCAUCAAAAAUAAUCAGCCAAUAAGAAUAUUUCAUUUCGGGUCUGGGCUUCAGUUUUGUUUCGAAUGGGCUUUGAUAUGUCUUCGGCUCUGGGCUUCGUGUUCGUUUAGAAAUUAGAAUUGGCACAUCAGCAGAUGUGAGCCCCACUUUAUAUUGAUUUGGUUUGGUAUCUAACUAAUGUUGUUUGUUUAAUUUGAGUUUUAUUUUUCUACGGUUUAAUUUUUUUCCCGUACGGUUCUCUUAAUGUCGUUGGUUCUCUUACGGUUCUAGGGUUAUCGUUUUUUGACUCUUCUUCACCCUCGCCGUUCCUCAAAACUCGGUCUGUAAACCCAAAGUUUUCUUUUUACAACUCUUAACCUCCCCUAACGUAGAUUCAACGUAUUCUACUUAAUUCCCCAUUAAUCCAGUAAUAAUGUAAACCUCUCUGUUUCCUUCAUUUGAUCUAUAAAUUGGAGAGGAUUCCGGGUGGGAUGAAUCUUCACAAUCACUUUCGAUUCAUCUUCCAUAUCAAGCAUACAAAGAUCCUUUGAUAAAGUCGUCCACAGAUGCUUUGAAGAGGCAGAUGACUAACUAUAUGCUUCAGGACGAUUAAAAUCAUCAGAAGAGUUUGGUCUGAUUCUACGCUUCUGGUUCGAUAGAUGAGCAAAAAAAUGAGUCAGAACCAUUGAUUUGAUCGAGCAGAGGCAGAGCGUCUGAAGCUUUGAUGCAUCAUCGAGAAACAUCUUUUGAGUCUUAGAGAGUUUCAGAGUUUCAGGGGAACAGAUUUAGGAUGAUAAAGGCAAGCCAAACCUAGCCAAAUUCUACGGUGAUAUGUCUUCGUUUCUUUGAAAUUUUAAUUUCUUACGUGGACGACUGUGACCUAUUCUCAACUUAUGAUUUGCGGUUACAGCUACAGAAGCAAUACGAGCUCAUAAGCAACGUAUUUUCAGCGUGAUACACAUUUAAGGAAGUGACAGAGUCAUCGAGUCAGUCAUGGAAUAUGCUGCCAAAGAAAACUGUGGGAUGCUGUACCGUUACUGCAAAGCUAUGGGAGAAGGGCUCCAUCAGGAGGACAGGGUGUUGAGGAAGGCCGUAGAGAAAACAAAAAAGAGGGUGAUGAAGUAACAGAGAAUCUCCUGGACAUUGACCCGCUAGAAAACAUGGUUAGACUUAGAGAUGAUGUUUUCAAGUGUAGAAGAAUAAAGAAAGAAAAACUUCAAAGGAUAAGGAGGAGUUGACGACCAAAGUGGACCACCAAGACCACCAAUAUUGUUGAUGAGAAGGUCGAUAUGUUUGCCAUUGGUGUAUUGGUUCUAUAAGUCAUAACCAGUCGUAGAGUUGUUGAUACAACAGAAGCCAUGUCAGGGGUGGUUGUGAAUGCGUGCUAUUUUCAGGAUCACACAGCCCCCUCAUACCUCAACGAACUCAUCCGCCACGGGCAACUCCUAAUGGAGUGAGUAGAAACAAUCAAAUAAAACUUAAAUGUCUGGUAACUAAUGUGCUUAUGCCUUGCCUUAGUCCCCCUUGAUUGAGUUUUGCUUCUUAAGAUUCUCAAUUGGUUGCUUCUUUUAUUUCAGUCAACCAAACGGUGAAUAUCACCUAGAUGUGUCUCUAUGUUGUUCUACUGAUUUUUGUUUAGGCUCAAACCUCGGAGCAGUUGUCAAUAUUCUACAAAGUUCAUGUAGUUUUAAUCUAAGCAUAAAAUUAAACCCCA
Molecule: long non-coding RNA, 1777 nt
Organism: Brassica napus (rape)
Lineage: Eukaryota; Viridiplantae; Streptophyta; Magnoliopsida; Brassicales; Brassicaceae
Exons: 5
Source: RefSeq, a predicted model, not a curated record